RNAcentral lists this ribosomal RNA (685 nucleotides) under uncultured Eubacteriales bacterium. RNAcentral's name for it is "bacterial SSU rRNA". It matches the Rfam family "Bacterial small subunit ribosomal RNA", at positions 102 to 805 of the family's 1533-position model. Lineage: Bacteria; Bacillati; Bacillota; Clostridia; Eubacteriales. The record is from RNAcentral.
ACGGGUGAGUAACGCGUGGGUAACCUGCCUUAUACAGGGGGAUAACAGUCAGAAAUGGCUGCUAAUACCGCAUAAGCGCACAGAGCUGCAUGGCUCAGUGUGAAAAACUCCGGUGGUAUAAGAUGGACCCGCGUUGGAUUAGCUUGUUGGUGGGGUAACGGCCCACCAAGGCGACGAUCCAUAGCCGGCCUGAGAGGGUGAACGGCCACAUUGGGACUGACACACGGCCCAGACUCCUACGGGAGGCAGCAGUGGGGAAUAUUGCACAAUGGGGGAAACCCUGAUGCAGCGACGCCGCGUGAAGGAAGAAGUAUCUCGGUAUGUAAACUUCUAUCAGCAGGGAAGAUAGUGACGGUACCUGACUAAGAAGCCCCGGCUAACUACGUGCCAGCAGCCGCGGUAAUACGUAGGGGGCAAGCGUUAUCCGGAUUUACUGGGUGUAAAGGGAGCGCAGGCGGGAAGACAAGUUGGAAGUGAAAUCUAUGGGCUCAACCCAUAAACGGCUUUCAAAACUGUUUUUCUUGAGUAGUGCAGAGGUAGGUGGAAUUCCCGGUGUAGCGGUGGAAUGCGUAGAUAUCGGGAGGAACACCAGUGACGAAGGCGACCUACUGGGCACCAACUGACGCUGAGGCUCGAAAGCAUGGGUAGCAAACAGGAUUAGAUACCCUGGUAGUCCAUGCCGUAA